CAGCAGCAGCCGCGGGAAUACAGAGGGUGCGAGCGUUAAUCGGAUUUACUGGGCGUAAAGCGUGCGUAGGCGGCUUCUUAAGUCGGAUGUGAAAUCCCUGAGCUUAACUUAGGAAUUGCAUUCGAUACUGGGAAGCUAGAGUAUGGGAGAGGAUGGUAGAAUUCCAGGUGUAGCGGUGAAAUGCGUAGAGAUCUGGAGGAAUACCGAUGGCGAAGGCAGCCAUCUGGCCUAAUACUGACGCUGAGGUACGAAAGCAUGGGGAGCAAACAGGAUUAGAUACCCGAGUAGUCCCUGUCUCUUAUAC
This 304-nucleotide ribosomal RNA is filed under the name uncultured bacterium. RNAcentral's name for it is "partial 16S ribosomal RNA". It matches the Rfam family "Bacterial small subunit ribosomal RNA", at positions 506 to 807 of the family's 1533-position model. The record is from RNAcentral.